Molecule: ribosomal RNA, 404 nt
Filed under: uncultured bacterium
Lineage: Bacteria
Description: bacterial SSU rRNA
Rfam family: Bacterial small subunit ribosomal RNA
Source: RNAcentral
UAGGGGAUAUUGCACAAUGGGCGGAAGCCUGAUGCAGCAACGCCGCGUGAGUGAUGAAGGCCCUCGGGUCGUAAAACUCUUUUCAAGAGGAAGAGGAAGGACGGUACUCUUGGAAUAAGCCUCGGCUAACUACGUGCCAGCAGCCGCGGUAACACGUAGGAGGCGAGCGUUAUUCGGAUUUACUGGGCGUAAAGCGCGUGUAGGCGGCUGAUCAAGUUGGGUGUGAAAGCUCCCGGCUUAGCUGGGAGAGGACGUUCAAAACUGAACAGCUUGAGUAUGAGAGAGGAAAAUGGAAUUCCGGGUGUAGUGGUGAAAUGCGUAGAUAUCCGGAGGAACACCAGUGGCGAAGGCGAUUUUCUGGCCCAAGACUGACGCUCAGACGCGAAAGCUAGGGUAGCAAACGG